AAACCCAACCAUGGUAGUUGCUACCAUAUUGCAGCAUAUUUAGCAAAUGUUCUUAAAAUUACCAUGGUCGGGCUUUCAGUGUAUGAGUUUCUGAUCGGACGAAUAAAUUUUCUUGUUUACCGCGACCUCCAAGACUCAGGUAACAGAAGUAACAGAAGGAUCCGGAGAAUAGCAUCGAUGAGGACAGUUCCGUGCAGCGACUGGUCGAAGGUCGGAGAAAACAUCUCCUCGAAGCAAAAAA
Molecule: long non-coding RNA, 241 nt
Organism: Culex quinquefasciatus (southern house mosquito)
Lineage: Eukaryota; Metazoa; Arthropoda; Insecta; Diptera; Culicidae
Exons: 2
Source: RefSeq, a predicted model, not a curated record